This 628-nucleotide ribosomal RNA is filed under the name Streptomyces sp. Sp080513SC-23. RNAcentral's name for it is "bacterial SSU rRNA". It matches the Rfam family "Bacterial small subunit ribosomal RNA", at positions 44 to 688 of the family's 1533-position model. Lineage: Bacteria; Bacillati; Actinomycetota; Actinomycetes; Kitasatosporales; Streptomycetaceae. The record is from RNAcentral.
GUGCUUAACACAUGCAAGUCGAACGAUGAAGCCUUUCGGGGUGGAUUAGUGGCGAACGGGUGAGUAACACGUGGGCAAUCUGCCCUUCACUCUGGGACAAGCCCUGGAAACGGGGUCUAAUACCGGAUAUGACACACGACCGCAUGGUCUGUGUGUGGAAAGCUCCGGCGGUGAAGGAUGAGCCCGCGGCCUAUCAGCUUGUUGGUGGGGUGAUGGCCUACCAAGGCGACGACGGGUAGCCGGCCUGAGAGGGCGACCGGCCACACUGGGACUGAGACACGGCCCAGACUCCUACGGGAGGCAGCAGUGGGGAAUAUUGCACAAUGGGCGAAAGCCUGAUGCAGCGACGCCGCGUGAGGGAUGACGGCCUUCGGGUUGUAAACCUCUUUCAGCAGGGAAGAAGCGAGAGUGACGGUACCUGCAGAAGAAGCGCCGGCUAACUACGUGCCAGCAGCCGCGGUAAUACGUAGGGCGCAAGCGUUGUCCGGAAUUAUUGGGCGUAAAGAGCUCGUAGGCGGCUUGUCACGUCGGAUGUGAAAGCCCGGGGCUUAACCCCGGGUCUGCAUUCGAUACGGGCAGGCUAGAGUUCGGUAGGGGAGAUCGGAAUUCCUGGUGUAGCGGUGAAAUG